UCAGGACGAACGCUGGCGGCGUGCCUAAUACAUGCAAGUCGAACGGUCUUUCUAUGGAAGCUUGCUUCCACUGAGAAGAUAGUGGCGAACGGGUGAGUAACACGUGGGUAACCUGCCCAUAAGAGGGGGAUAACAUCCGGAAACGGGUGCUAAUACCGCAUAGUUUUCUUGAUCGCAUGAUCGGGAAAGGAAAGACGGCCUUUGUGCUGUCGCUUAUGGAUGGACCCGCGGCGUAUUAGUUAGUUGGUGAGGUAACGGCUCACCAAGACGAUGAUACGUAGCCGACCUGAGAGGGUGAUCGGCCACAUUGGGACUGAGACACGGCCCAAACUCCUACGGGAGGCAGCAGUAGGGAAUCUUCCGCAAUGGACGAAAGUCUGACGGAGCAACGCCGCGUGAGUGAAAGAAGGUUUUCGGAUCGUAAAACUCUGUUGUCAGAGAAGAACAAGUUGGAGAGUAACUGCUCCAGCCUUGACGGUAUCUGACCAGAAAGCCACGGCUAACUACGUGCCAGCCGCCGC
This 521-nucleotide ribosomal RNA is filed under the name uncultured bacterium. RNAcentral's name for it is "bacterial SSU rRNA". It matches the Rfam family "Bacterial small subunit ribosomal RNA", at positions 24 to 518 of the family's 1533-position model. The record is from RNAcentral.